Molecule: microRNA, 24 nt
Filed under: Lotus japonicus
Lineage: Eukaryota; Viridiplantae; Streptophyta; Magnoliopsida; Fabales; Fabaceae
Description: lja-miR11180-3p
Source: miRBase by way of RNAcentral
UUUUACUUUCGAUUUUGUAACGGC